GACGAACGCUGGCGGCGUGCUUAACACAUGCAAGUCGAACGGAAAGGCCCUGCUUUUGUGGGGUGCUCGAGUGGCGAACGGGUGAGUAACACGUGAGUAACCUGCACUUGACUUUGGGAUAACUUCAGGAAACUGGGGCUAAUACCGGAUAGGAUCUCCUGCUGCAUGGGGGGGGUUGGAAAGUUUCGGCGGUUGGGGCUGGACUCGCGGCUUAUCAGCUUGUUGGUGGGGUAGUGGCUUACCAAGGCUUUGACGGGUAGCCGACCUGAGAGGGGGGCCGGGGACCAUGGGCCUAAGAGAGGGAGCAGUCGGGUAUGGGAGGCAAUAGGGGGGAACAUGGCAGAACGGGGCGAAGCGAGAGACGGAGGUGUUGCGAGCGGGAAGCUGUCCUACGAGUGGUAAACAGAUGUCUAAGGUGCCGUAGCGGGAGUGACGGUAAUGAAUCAAAAAGCACCGGCUAACUACGUG
This 468-nucleotide ribosomal RNA is filed under the name uncultured bacterium. RNAcentral describes it as "partial 16S ribosomal RNA". It matches the Rfam family "Bacterial small subunit ribosomal RNA", at positions 28 to 507 of the family's 1533-position model. The record is from RNAcentral.